GAUGAACGCUGGCGGCGUGCCUAAUACAUGCAAGUCGAGCGAACAGACGAGGAGCUUGCUCCUCUGACGUUAGCGGCGGACGGGUGAGGAACACGUGGAUAACCUACCUAUAAGACUGGGAUAACUUCGGGAAACCGGAGCUAAUACCGGAUAAUAUAUUGAACCGCAUGGUUCAAUAGUGAAAGACGGUUUUGCUGUCACUUAUAGAUGGAUCCGCGCCGCAUUAGCUAGUUGGUAAGGUAACGGCUUACCAAGGCGACGAUGCGUAGCCGACCUGAGAGGGUGAUCAGCCACACUGGAACUGAGACACGGUCCAGACUCCUACGGGAGGCAGCAGUAGGGAAUAUUCCGCAAUGGGCGAAAGCCUGACGGAGCAACGCCGCGUGAGUGAUGAAGGUCUUCGGAUCGUAAAACUCUGUUAUUAGGGAGGAACAAAUGUGUAAGUAACUAUGCACGUCUUGACGGUACCUAAUCAGAAAGCCACGGCUAACUACGUG
Molecule: ribosomal RNA, 497 nt
Filed under: uncultured bacterium
Lineage: Bacteria
Description: partial 16S ribosomal RNA
Rfam family: Bacterial small subunit ribosomal RNA
Source: RNAcentral